This 468-nucleotide ribosomal RNA is filed under the name uncultured bacterium. Its description in RNAcentral is "partial 16S ribosomal RNA". It matches the Rfam family "Bacterial small subunit ribosomal RNA", at positions 28 to 507 of the family's 1533-position model. The record is from RNAcentral.
GACGAACGCUGGCAGCGUGCUUAACACAUGCAAGUCGAACGGAAAGGCCCUGCUUUUGUGUGGUGCUCGAGUGGCGAACGGGUGAGUAACACGUGAGUAACCUGCCCUUGACUUUGGGAUAACUUCAGGAAACUGGGGCUAAUACCGGAUAGGAGCUCCUGCUGCAUGGUGGGGGUUGGAACGUUUCGGCGGUUGGGGAUGGACUCGCGGCUUAUCAGCUUGUUGGUGGGGUAGUGGCUUACCAAGGCUUUGACGGGUAGCCGGCCUGAGAGGGUGACCGGCGACAUUGGGACUGCGAUACGGCCCAGACUCCUACGGGAGGCAGCAGUGGGGAAUAUUGCACAAUGGGCGGAAGCCUGAUGCAGCAACGCCGCGUGCGUGAUGACGGCCUUCGGGUUGUAAACCGCUUUCGCCUGUGACGAAGCGUGAGUGACGGUAAUGGGUAAAGAAGCACCGGCUAACUACGUG